Molecule: ribosomal RNA, 495 nt
Filed under: uncultured bacterium
Lineage: Bacteria
Description: partial 16S ribosomal RNA
Rfam family: Bacterial small subunit ribosomal RNA
Source: RNAcentral
GACGAACGCUGGCGGCGUGCCUAAUACAUGCAAGUAGAACGCUGAAGGAGGAGCUUGCUUCUCUGGAUGAGUUGCGAACGGGUGAGUAACGCGUAGGUAACCUGCCUGGUAGCGGGGGAUAACUAUUGGAAACGAUAGCUAAUACCGCAUAAGAGUAGAUGCUGCAUGACAUUUGCUUAAAAGGUGCAAUUGCAUCACUACCAGAUGGACCUGCGUUGUAUUAGCUAGUUGGUGGGGUAACGGCUUACCAAGGCGACGAUACAUAGCCGACCUGAGAGGGUGAUCGGCCACACUGGGACUGAGACACGGCCCAGACUCCUACGGGAGGCAGCAGUAGGGAAUCUUCGGCAAUGGACGGAAGUCUGACCGAGCAACGCCGCGUGAGUGAAGAAGGUUUUCGGAUCGUAAAGCUCUGUUGUAAGAGAAGAACGAGUGUGAGAGUGGAAAGUUCACACUGUGACGGUAUCUUACCAGAAAGGGACGGCUAACUACGUG